UGAAGAGUUUGAUCCUGGCUCAGAUUGAACGCUGGCGGCAUGCCUUACACAUGCAAGUCGAACGGCAGCACGGGUGCUUGCACCUGGUGGCGAGUGGCGAACGGGUGAGUAAUACAUCGGAACAUGUCCUGUAGUGGGGGAUAGCCCGGCGAAAGCCGGAUUAAUACCGCAUACGAUCUACGGAUGAAAGCGGGGGACCUUCGGGCCUCGCGCUAUAGGGUUGGCCGAUGGCUGAUUAGCUAGUUGGUGGGGUAAAGGCCUACCAAGGCGACGAUCAGUAGCUGGUCUGAGAGGACGACCAGCCACACUGGGACUGAGACACGGCCCAGACUCCUACGGGAGGCAGCAGUGGGGAAUUUUGGACAAUGGGCGAAAGCCUGAUCCAGCAAUGCCGCGUGUGUGAAGAAGGCCUUCGGGUUGUAAAGCACUUUUGUCCGGAAAGAAAUCCUUGGCUCUAAUACAGUCGGGGGAUGACGGUACCGGAAGAAUAAGCACCGGCUAACUACGUGCCAGCAGCCGCGGUAAUACGUAGGGUGCGAGCGUUAAUCGGAAUUACUGGGCGUAAAGCGUGCGCAGGCGGUUUGCUAAGACCGAUGUGAAAUCCCCGGGCUCAACCUGGGAACUGCAUUGGUGACUGGCAGGCUAGAGUAUGGCAGAGGGGGGUAGAAUUCCACGUGUAGCAGUGAAAUGCGUAGAGAUGUGGAGGAAUACCGAUGGCGAAGGCAGCCCCCUGGGCCAAUACUGACGCUCAUGCACGAAAGCGUGGGGAGCAAACAGGAUUAGAUACCCUGGUAGUCCACGCCCUAAACGAUGUCAACUAGUUGUUGGGGAUUCAUUUCCUUAGUAACGUAGCUAACGCGUGAAGUUGACCGCCUGGGGAGUACGGUCGCAAGAUUAAAACUCAAAGGAAUUGACGGGGACCCGCACAAGCGGUGGAUGAUGUGGAUUAAUUCGAUGCAACGCGAAAAACCUUACCUACCCUUGACAUGGUCGGAAUCCUGCCGAGAGGUGGGAGUGCUCGAAAGAGAACCGGCGCACAGGUGCUGCAUGGCUGUCGCCAGCUCGUGUCGUGAGAUGUUGGGUUAAGUCCCGCAACGAGCGCAACCCUUGUCCUUAGUUGCUACGCAAGAGCACUCUAAGGAGACUGCCGGUGACAAACCGGAGGAAGGUGGGGAUGACGUCAAGUCCUCAUGGCCCUUAUGGGUAGGGCUUCACACGUCAUACAAUGGUCGGAACAGAGGGUUGCCAACCCGCGAGGGGGAGCUAAUCCCAGAAAACCGAUCGUAGUCCGGAUUGCACUCUGCAACUCGAGUGCAUGAAGCUGGAAUCGCUAGUAAUCGCGGAUCAGCAUGCCGCGGUGAAUACGUUCCCGGGUCUUGUACACACCGCCCGUCACACCAUGGGAGUGGGUUUUACCAGAAGUGGCUAGUCUAACCGCAAGGAGGACGGUCACCACGGUAGGAUUCAUGACUGGGGUGAAGUCGUAACAAGGUAGCCGUAUCGGAAGGUGCGGCUGGAUCACCUCCUUU
RNAcentral lists this ribosomal RNA (1529 nucleotides) under Burkholderia sola. RNAcentral describes it as "16S ribosomal RNA". It matches the Rfam family "Bacterial small subunit ribosomal RNA". Lineage: Bacteria; Pseudomonadati; Pseudomonadota; Betaproteobacteria; Burkholderiales; Burkholderiaceae. The record is from RNAcentral.